AAUAUUCACCUUUUUAUUCAGAUACCACCAAUGAUCUUAACAUACGUUAUGUAUAAACCUAACAAAUACACAGUUGCAUUAUUUAGGUUAUUUAUGUGAUUGAGCCUAUUCUGCACUUAGGGUACUUAAUUGUACUUGUAUUGCAGUACAACUGGUGUCUUUGCCUACAUUCUCUUUACAAUUUGAAUGAUGUUGAUUCAUCAAAGUGCACGUACAAAUGUCCAGGUUCAAACAAUGAUGUAUGUGGAGAAAGAUCUCAUUUUACAGUAUACAAGCACAUUACCGGAAAAUUACAACCCAAAAGUGAUGUCGAUCAAAAACUUGCCUGUUCCGUUAUUGUGCCUAGAAAUGAUACGUUUGUAUUGAAAGUUGUUGACUGCUAUUCAAAAUACUGGACAAUAUGUGUAAUAUAUGGAGUUACUAGACAAAUGGGAUUCACAGAAACUUAUCAGUUGGCAAUUAGUAGGUGUUCCUCGUUAAAUGGGACAAUACUUAGCAUCUUCGACAAUCUUGAUAAUUUGGAGGAUGGAACAGAGAACUGGUCUAAUAUCUUUAGAUCCAGGUUUCUGAAAUGGAUAACUAAUGAAUCAUUCGAUGAAA
Long non-coding RNA from Mytilus californianus (California mussel), 600 nucleotides. RefSeq lists it as uncharacterized. NCBI's taxonomy places the organism in Eukaryota, Metazoa, Mollusca, Bivalvia, Mytilida, Mytilidae. The record is from RefSeq and is a predicted model, not a curated record. The transcript has 3 exons.